RNAcentral lists this long non-coding RNA (298 nucleotides) under Malus domestica (apple). RNAcentral describes it as "long non-coding RNA (MDOM_LNC009363)". The record is from RNAcentral. Lineage: Eukaryota; Viridiplantae; Streptophyta; Magnoliopsida; Rosales; Rosaceae.
UGUUAGGAGGAAGAGAGAAUUUUAGUCUAAGGGUAAUUAAGUCUUCUAACAUCAAUUUUGGUUAAUUUUAUAAGAAAUAAGAAAACCAGGUUAUAUUUCAAUAAGUGCUCUUUAAAAUGGUUAUAUUUCAAUAAGUGCUCUUUAAUAUGGAGAUGAGAUAAAUUUGAACUUAUUACCUAUUUUGGGCACUCUUGACUCGGUUGAUGGAUGAUUCUCCAUUACUCGCGUGUAGGAAACCCGGUGUGCCUUGAGGGCAAUUUUGUCAUCUUCACCCAAAAAUCCACGUGUUGCCUUGUGA